Molecule: long non-coding RNA, 541 nt
Organism: Mastomys coucha (southern multimammate mouse)
Lineage: Eukaryota; Metazoa; Chordata; Mammalia; Rodentia; Muridae
Exons: 3
Source: RefSeq, a predicted model, not a curated record
CAUGUCAUUAGCCGUGUGUCUUUAACCUGCUGAGCCAUCUUGAUGACCAAAAUCUCAGUAAACUUCAACUCUGUUUCAAUCUGUCUGGCCCUGGAAUUCUUUGCUGCAAUGAAAUCAAGAAUCCUGUUGUCACUUGAAUGGAGGUCUCUGGAAAGAAGUGCCCAGUGCUUGGGCUGCUGCAGGUGGCAGAGUGGAGCUGUGUCUCUAGCCCACACCUCACUGCUGGUGGCAAAAGCCCGUGUGUAAAGAAGCAGAGCUUUAGGUGUCCCCAAACUCUUCAAGAUGACUGACCAUGGGGAUAUCUCUGCAAUUCAUGGAUGGAAAGAGCCCAGGAAGCUACUGGAGAAGAGCAAGUUGCCCUAGACCAAUCACUGUGGCUGUCCUAUCUUCGGGAGAAGCCCUCACUGGUGUCCCAGCCCCCAGUCUCCUCUUCUAGAAGUCUUUGUGUUAUGUCUGCUAUGAGCCACAAGCUGCAUGUCAUGGCUUGGUUCCAUGGGGUGUCCCAAUGAAAAAUACAGACUUCCCAAGGCUGAAAAUUGAC